UACGAAGGGGGCUAGCGCUGCUCGGAAUCACUGGGCGUAAAGGGUGCGUAGGCGGGUCUUUAAGUCAGGGGUGAAAUCCUGGAGCUCAACUCCAGAACUGCCUUUGAUACUGAGGAUCUUGAGUUCGGGAGAGGUGAGUGGAACUGCGAGUGUAGAGGUGAAAUUCGUAGAUAUUCGCAAGAACACCAGUGGCGAAGGCGGCUCACUGGCCCGAUACUGACGCUGAGGCACGAAAGCGUGGGGAGCAAACAGGG
This 254-nucleotide ribosomal RNA is filed under the name uncultured bacterium. Its description in RNAcentral is "partial 16S ribosomal RNA". It matches the Rfam family "Bacterial small subunit ribosomal RNA", at positions 524 to 777 of the family's 1533-position model. The record is from RNAcentral.